CGAAAUGCGAUAAGUAAUGUGAAUUGCAGAUUUCAGUGAAUCAUCGAAUCUUUGAACGCACCUUGCA
This 67-nucleotide ribosomal RNA is filed under the name uncultured Mycena. RNAcentral describes it as "partial 5.8S ribosomal RNA". It matches the Rfam family "5.8S ribosomal RNA", at positions 49 to 115 of the family's 154-position model. Rfam says of the family: 5.8S ribosomal RNA (5.8S rRNA) is a component of the large subunit of the eukaryotic ribosome. Lineage: Eukaryota; Fungi; Basidiomycota; Agaricomycetes; Agaricales; Tricholomataceae. The record is from RNAcentral.